AGAGUUUGAUCCUGGCUCAGGACGAACGCUGGCGGCGCGCCUAACACAUGCAAGUCGAACGGAGUCAAGAGGAGCUUGCUUUUCUUGACUUAGUGGCGAACGGGUGAGUAACGCGUGAGUAACCUGCCCUGGAGUGGGGGACAACAGUUGGAAACGACUGCUAAUACCGCAUAAGCCCACGAUCCGGCAUCGGAUUGAGGGAAAAGGAUUUAUUCGCUUCAGGAUGGACUCGCGUCCAAUUAGCUAGUUGGUGAGGUAACGGCCCACCAAGGCGACGAUUGGUAGCCGGACUGAGAGGUUGAACGGCCACAUUGGGACUGAGACACGGCCCAGACUCCUACGGGAGGCAGCAGUGGGGGAUAUUGCACAAUGGGGGAAACCCUGAUGCAGCGACGCCGCGUGGAGGAAGAAGGUUUUCGGAUUGUAAACUCCUGUCGUUAGGGACGAUAAUGACGGUACCUAACAAGAAAGCACCGGCUAACUACGUGCCAGCAGCCGCGGUAAAACGUAGGGUGCAAGCGUUGUCCGGAAUUACUGGGUGUAAAGGGAGCGCAGGCGGACCGGCAAGUUGGAAGUGAAAACUAUGGGCUCAACCCAUAAAUUGCUUUCAAAACUGCUGGCCUUGAGUAGUGCAGAGGUAGGUGGAAUUCCCGGUGUAGCGGUGGAAUGCGUAGAUAUCGGGAGGAACACCAGUGGCGAAGGCGACCUACUGGGCACCAACUGACGCUGAGGCUCGAAAGCAUGGGUAGCAAACAGGAUUAGAUACCCUGGUAGUCCAUGCCGUAAACGAUAAUUACUAGGUGUUGGAGGAUUGACCCCAUUCAGGCCGGCAGUUUAACACAAUAUGUAAUCCACCUGGGGAGUAGGCCCGCAAGGUUGAAACUCAAAGGAAUUGACGGGGGCCCGCACAAGCAGUGGAGUAUGUGGUUUAAUUCGAAGCAACGCGAAGAACCUUAUCAGGUCUUGACAUCCGAUGCAUAGUGCAGAGAUGCAUGAAGUCCUUCGGGACAUCGAGACAGGUGGUGCAUGGUUGUCGUCAGCUCGUGUCGUGAGAUGUUGGGUUAAGUCCCGCAACGAGCGCAACCCUUAUUGCCAGUUACUACGAAAGAGGACUCUGGCGAGACUGCCGUUGACAAAACGGAGGAAGGUGGGGAUGACGUCAAAUCAUCAUGCCCUUUAUGACCUGGGCUACACACGUACUACAAUGGCGUUUAACAAAGAGAAGCAAGACCGCGAGGUGGAGCAAAACUCAAAAACAACGUCUCAGUUCAGAUUGCAGGCUGCAACUCGCCUGCAUGAAGUCGGAAUUGCUAGUAAUCGCGGAUCAGCAUGCCGCGGUGAAUAAAUUCCCGGGUCUUGCACUCACCGCCCGUCA
RNAcentral lists this ribosomal RNA (1375 nucleotides) under uncultured bacterium. RNAcentral's name for it is "bacterial SSU rRNA". It matches the Rfam family "Bacterial small subunit ribosomal RNA". The record is from RNAcentral.